AAGCGCUCGCGACCAGACUCGCGCGCGGUUGCUCAGCCGGUCUCUUGACCGGUGCACUCUUCCGCGCUCGGGCCAGCAUCGGUUUGGGCGGCCGGACAAAGGCGCGGGGAACGUGGCCCUCUUCGGGGGGUGUUAUAGCCUCGUGCACAAUACGGCCUGCCUGGACCGAGGACCGCGCAUCUGCCAGGAUGCUGGCGUAAUGGUCGCUAGCGG
This 213-nucleotide ribosomal RNA is filed under the name Repetophragma sp. Its description in RNAcentral is "partial large subunit ribosomal RNA". The record is from RNAcentral. Lineage: Eukaryota; Fungi; Ascomycota; Dothideomycetes.